Molecule: ribosomal RNA, 631 nt
Filed under: Pseudobensingtonia musae
Lineage: Eukaryota; Fungi; Basidiomycota; Agaricostilbomycetes; Agaricostilbales; Agaricostilbaceae
Description: eukaryotic LSU rRNA
Rfam family: Eukaryotic large subunit ribosomal RNA
Source: RNAcentral
UAAGCGGAGGAAAAGAAACUAACAAGGAUUCCCCUAGUAACGGCGAGUGAAGCGGGAAGAGCUCAACUUUGUAAUCUGGCUGCUUCGCAGUCCGAGUUGUAGUCUAUAGAAGCAUGAUCCGCGCCGGACCUUGGCCAUGUCUGUUGGAAAGCAGUGUCAAAGAGGGUGAUAAUCCCGUACAUACCAAGGACGACCGUGUGCAUUGUGGUCUGCUCUCUAAGAGUCGAGUUGUUUGGGAAUGCAGCUCUAAUCGGGUGGUAAAUUCCAUCUAAAGCUAAAUACCGACGAGAGACCGAUAGCGAACAAGUACAGUAAUGGAAAGAUGAAAAGUAGCCUGCAGAGGCAAUGAAACAAUACGUGAAACCGUUUGUAGGGAAACGAUGGAACCUUUUCACGCUGCAGGGGCUCAGCCUGGCUUCGGCUUGGUGUAUUCCCCUGUUUUGCGGGCCAGCAUCAGUUUGCUUUGCGGUAUAAGGGUGAUUGGAAUGUGGCUCCCACGGGAGUGUUAUAGCCUUUCACUGGAUGCCGCGUCGCAGACUGAGGACUGCAGUGCGCCAUUAGGCAUUACCCCCGGGUAACGAGCACUUAGGAUGCUGGUAGAAUGGGUUUCAACGACCCGUCUUGAAACACG